Molecule: long non-coding RNA, 373 nt
Organism: Gasterosteus aculeatus aculeatus (three-spined stickleback)
Lineage: Eukaryota; Metazoa; Chordata; Actinopteri; Perciformes; Gasterosteidae
Source: Ensembl
GUUUAUUAAUCUGAAUAAAGCUGCUGAAUUAAACGUGUUAGUAAGUUUAACUUAAUGAACCUACCAGUGACAUUGAGGUGACAUUCCUUAAAGUUCUUCCCAUAACUUGUGUCCACUUGACACCAGUACAGCCCCGAGUCAUUAGUCUGGAGUCUGGAGAUGUGAAGUCUGAGUCGUCCUUCUCUGAGGACGUCUUUGUCCCACUGGACUCGUCCUGCAAAGCGUUUAUCCUGCAUCUCUGGGACCUCGACACCGUCAUGUAGCUCAAACAGGGUAAAGGGUCUCUCAUCAGCUAACAUCUCACAGGAGACAUGAAGGGCGUUGGGGGAGGGGUCCGUGCUGGUGGGGAACAUCCAUUCCAGUGAGAUGUUGU